CCAGCAGCUGUUCCUCUCCUGUCUGGGGUGCUUGUGACACUAACCGCUCAAAAUCUUGAAUGUAUUCAUCAAUUCUUCCAUUCUGUUUGAUCUUUGCCAGCUUCUCAAAAACAGAGCUUCUCUCCUUUCCCCCAAACCUCCUAUUCAGCGCCAUGGAAAACUCUUCCCAAGAAGGAUUCUUGGAGUUCUUUCUCCAAAAACUGAACCAAGGACUGGCGCUUCCCUCCAUACUGAUGAAGGCCAGUUUUAAUCUUUCCCCAGCUGUCACAUUCUGCACCUCAAAGAAUUUUACAGCUCUGGCCAGCCAACCCAUUGGGUCCUCGCCCUCAAAA
This 332-nucleotide long non-coding RNA is filed under the name Phaseolus vulgaris (common bean). RNAcentral's name for it is "long non-coding RNA (PVUL_LNC003432)". The record is from RNAcentral. Lineage: Eukaryota; Viridiplantae; Streptophyta; Magnoliopsida; Fabales; Fabaceae.